GACGUAGGGGACGAGCGUUGUCCGGAUUCAUUGGGCGUAAAGCGCGUGUAGGCGGUCCGGUAAGUCCGCUGUGAAAGUCGAGGGCUCAACCCUCGAAUGCCGGUGGAUACUGUCGGGCUAGAGUGCGGAAGAGGCGAGUGGAAUUCCUGGUGUAGCGGUGAAAUGCGCAGAUAUCAGGAGGAACACCUAUUGCGAAGGCAGCUCGCUGGGACGUUACUGACGCUGAGACGCGAAAGCGUGGGGAGCAAACAGG
RNAcentral lists this ribosomal RNA (253 nucleotides) under uncultured bacterium. RNAcentral describes it as "partial 16S ribosomal RNA". It matches the Rfam family "Bacterial small subunit ribosomal RNA", at positions 524 to 776 of the family's 1533-position model. The record is from RNAcentral.